This 266-nucleotide ribosomal RNA is filed under the name uncultured Syntrophaceae bacterium. RNAcentral describes it as "partial 16S ribosomal RNA". It matches the Rfam family "Bacterial small subunit ribosomal RNA", at positions 1115 to 1382 of the family's 1533-position model. The record is from RNAcentral. Lineage: Bacteria; Pseudomonadati; Thermodesulfobacteriota; Syntrophia; Syntrophales; Syntrophaceae.
UUGCCAUCAUUUAGUUGGGCACUUUAAAGAGACUGCCGGUGUUAAGCCGGAGGAAGGUGGGGAUGACGUCAAGUCCUCAUGGCCUUUAUGCCCAGGGCUACACACGUGCUACAAUGGGCGGUACAAAGAGAAGCAACCUCGCGAGGGUGAGCAAAUCUCAAAAAGCCGUUCUCAGUUCGGAUUGAAGUCUGCAACUCGACUUCAUGAAGUCGGAAUCGCUAGUAAUCGCGGAUCAGCAUGCCGCGGUGAAUACGUUCCCGGGCCUU